AAGCAACACUUUAUGGCAGAUGAUCAAAACUGUCUGACACGUUUUGAGCUUUCUCUGCCAGCAAAGUCUAACCUAUUGCAGUGCUCUCUCUUCUAUGAAACAACCCAUUACAGAGACUCAGU
This is a small nucleolar RNA of Phyllostomus discolor (pale spear-nosed bat), 122 nucleotides long. RefSeq annotates it as small nucleolar RNA SNORA28. The transcript has a single exon. NCBI's taxonomy places the organism in Eukaryota, Metazoa, Chordata, Mammalia, Chiroptera, Phyllostomidae. The record is from RefSeq and is a predicted model, not a curated record.